UCCCACGAUUUCCUCGCGCCUCUUCGGUGGGAGGGACUAAGACAUGAGGAAGGGAGGCAAGCGGAGGAGGCAAUUUAAGCGACAGGAGAAGCACCUGUAGACUACAUCGUAAAGUUUCAUGGCUCCUGUGUUAAGGUACUUCUGGGUAGAUGAAGAAGUGCAGGCGGCGCAUACUGCUGUUUGUGCAAAGCAGCAACCUUCUCACACGUUAUCUCAAGCGGAGCCUGCACAGUGUGACCGAAGUCCUCCAGACUCCACCUGCUCCACCUCUUUCGCUGCAUUCAUCCCGUCCGCUUUGUAACGUCAAAACAAGUCCAGGAUGCAGCCUGACUGUCAGGUUGUGUCGACCUGCAUUCGUUCAUGUAAAUGAGCAUUUACACAGCCAG
This is a long non-coding RNA of Perca fluviatilis (European perch), 386 nucleotides long. RefSeq lists it as uncharacterized. The transcript is spliced from 4 exons. Lineage: Eukaryota; Metazoa; Chordata; Actinopteri; Perciformes; Percidae. The record is from RefSeq and is a predicted model, not a curated record.